GCUGUCCCGGCGGAAAUGACAAGGGCAGGUGCGCGCCGCCGGAAGUGGCGGAGGUGGUGCGGCGGCCGGCGGCGCUGGGUCUCGUGUCCUGCUGCCCGGGGGUCACCGUGCCGGAUCCCCAGCGUUACCCCGCUUCCAGAGACGUCGGGCGUGCUCUCUUCCGAUCUAAAACGCUGAGAUUUAUGUCCGUCCACUAUGAAAUCGCGGAUGCUUUUGUAAUUAUUAGUCCAGUGCUUCCAGUUUUGAAGCAUACAAAGGAUCAGUGAAAGCAACGAAGAAAUCCUACAAAUUACUUUCUGCCAAGAAAAUCCUUCAGAUGCCACGAGCACUAUGUUAUUAUGAUUUGAUUGCAGCAAUAGAGUAAUAGAGAUGCAAAAAUAAGUUAUUGAGAGGAUAUGCAAAGUAGAUGAAGGGAGAGGUUUUGCUGAAAAAAUCACUGGUGAUUUUGCACUAAGGUGGUGGCACAAACACUGCUGUGUCCGUGAUUUUGUGACGUAACUGGAGUUUAUAGAAGGAAAAAGACUACAACCAUGUACACUAACCUGAUAAAUGUCCCAGCACACAUGCAAAAAAAAGUUUGAUCAAUUUCCGAAUAGUCAGUGGGAGGUGGUGGUUUGGUUUUCCUCAGUACUGUGCCACAUACAUAUAGUUACCACAUUCCGUGCUGUGGAGAUAGGCCUGCUAGUGACUGCUUUCAAACCUAUAAUUUUUAAUCAGAUUUGAGAGAAGCAUGUUAUACUUAAUUUCUCUAAAGAAAGAUAUUCCCUGAGUCCCAGGGUGGAGCUUAAUCACAUCUGACUCUGACACUGUCAGUGGUGUGACUCAAAUAUUCAGACCUAAAGGUAAGAGAUUCUCAUUGUCCAAAAGCAAGUUUUUUUUUUCCUGCACUGUGAAAAGCAACAUGGAAGGUUCUGAAUUAUCCAUCUGGUCUUAUCACCAGGAAGGAUAUAUUUAUGUCUGGAAGUCUGCUCAGCACUCAGUUCCAACCAGUCCUGUGAGUGCAGCACACUUCCUCACUGUCAUUCUUUGAGAAUAUUUGAACCCAGGGCUACUCAGAAAUGGAAUAUAGCUAAGUGAUAUUGGAUCAUCGGAUCGGUCAAACUUCGAAGGAGUUCGAUAUGAGUCUGGCACUUGCCUAUGUAAUGAUUUUUCUUGCUACAAGUCAGAGUGACGUUUUUGGAAUUCAUCUGGUAACCUGGUAAAGUUGCAAAGUUGUCUGGAUACUUGUUGUGUACAUAGUGGAUAAGGAUGCUUUAAUGCAUAUUUUUCCCAUCUUUCUUCAUAACCAGAAUGCUUGGUACUCCUUUGUGCAUCCUCAAGCCCUGACAGGAGUUACAAUUUCCAGAUAUCUGGAGUCUGUUCAGAGCAACCUUCAGCAGUCUUGUGUAUCAAGAGUUUGUACCAGAACAGUUUCUCCGUUAUCUCACGCAUUCUUGUGAACUGUAUUAUGGUGAUUAUAUGUUUUUACCUCCAGGAAGUGGCUUAACAUAUGCUCCUACUCUUUUUGUUCUUAAAAAAAUGCCAUCAGAAAUCUAUGGAAAGUAUUCUUUGUUCCCAAGGUAAAGACACAAAGUUUCACCCCUUAUCUAAACAAACAGCUUUCUCAGAAGUCUUAUUACCUCCCGAUACUAUGAGAGCUUUGUAUUCGAAUCUAACAUUAACAAUUUAAAGGAAAAAUGUUUUGAUAACCUCUUUUUUUAUGAGAUACUUAACAGUCAUUUUCUUUUGCAGGAGAAAGUUGUUUGUGGAUAAUUUUAUAGGCUAUUGCAUAUCACAACAGAUGUACAUUAUCAGUGUUUUCUUUUUCUGGCCAAAAAGACUAUAUCCUUCUUUUCUUCCCUUUUUUUGUCCCCCUUCCCCUCCUAGGCCUUCACGCUGUUUGACAUUAGGCAUAUCAUUUGACCUGAAAGGAAGGGAUGAAUGGUGGACUACAGUAUUUAAAUAUAGUGGGAAGAAGUGAUAGAUUUUGCAGCUUUUCUGCUGAGCGGUGUAGCGAUUGGACAGACCAGUAUGAUGGGAAAAGGCAUUUCAUCAGAGGUGCAAUGACAAGAGGAUCAGCACAAUAGAAAGAUGCUAUAAAGGAAAGGGAUUACUUACCUGUAUCAGAAGAUUUCACAUCCACCGAGGAAAGCUUCGCCAAGGAGAGAUGUCUAAAGAGAUAUCUUCCCCAGUGGGGUGUAAGAGAGGUGGAGCCAGGCUCCACCCCUUCCUGUCACACAGCUGAAUUGCCUUUCCCUGUGCUCCCACGGCUGGCCCAGUCCUUUCCCCAGGUGCUCAAUUCAGGCUGUGUCUCAACAGUUCCCAUACAAGUGGAAAGUUUGAGCAUCAGGAUUAUCAUCAUUGCUCAUAAAUCAGUGCCACUAUCUAUCAACGAAUGUUUGAAUAAGCUAAUUGAAAUAGGACACCAUCUGUCCUUCCAAACUCAGAGGUACCUGGAAGAUUCUACCUCUUCCUGCGUUGUCACCAUUUGCCUUUUGAUUUUGCAGAAGUCACAUUGUUUUUCACAGAGACAAACCUCUGCAUAUGGAAGGUAGCUGCAGGCCAGUGUUAACAUUGGCGAGCCCUCUUGCUGUCUGUGUCACCAAGAAAAGCACAGGAUUGUACUUGUGCUCCAAACUUCUGAUUUUGCUUUUCUCUACCAAGUGCUUUUCACCUGAACUAUUGUAUUGUAAGUCUGCAACAAAUUGAAUUUCAGCGUUGUAAUGAAUGCCCUGACCACAACAGUAAGUGGACUGCCAGAGGAUUUCUAAUUCUUGCUGCUGAAGACAGAUGUUUGAUUCUAAAUCUCAUAAUCUUGCUAUCUCUCCACCUGGGAGCUGCAGGUAGAUAGCUGAUCACUAUGAUAUUUCAGUCUGUAGGCAGAAAUGGGAAUAGGUUUGCUAGAGCACUGGUGGCUACUUGAGGGACUAUCAGAAAAGAGCAUCAUGAUAUCAGAUAUACGUUGGUAAGAACAUCAAUCCUUUUGGCAUCUUAGGUUUGUGUUUUUUUUUUUUUUUCCUCCAGAGGCUGGCAAACAUUUUUAGGUCAGUGAUCACAGCUUCUGUUAAUUCUUUAACUGUUCAGGAACCUGGGAAAUCAGUACUUGAGUGAUGGUCUGAACAGUGAAUGAUCUGAACUGGUGUAUGUGGGGAACUGUUAGGUCACAACUUGAACUGGGGAUUGAGCACCUGGACAGGGGACGUAGGCUGGCUCCUGAGAAGGAGUGCUGCAUGGCCAGAAACGCCCUUCACCAGCUGGGUGUGUUCAUCUUUUCUUCCUGUGUAUGACUAUUGGCCUAACUGUAAGUUCUGGUGUAACUAAGAACCUCUCAGAAGCAAUUUUGUCUCUUUGUGAGCAGAACAGAGCAUAAACAGUAUUGUAACAGAAGUGGUUCUUUGGCAUCAACAGAAACCAGGAAGCGUUUAGAAAUAUUACAGCUGGAACCCAAUAGUUAAAAAUAUGAUACUUGGUCUCUAGAUUCUUAAGGUCUAGCACAACUAAGACCUUGAGUUACUAUGAAGAAGAGUUAGCAAAUAUCCAAGUACGUAUUUCAUGUGAUUUCUGUCUAGAUGAGUCAGAUGAGUUUCAGUAAUUUUCAUAAUGAGCCAGAAUGCUUUAAUGUUUCUAUUUCAGAAUACUGAGAAAACCUAAUGAAUUUUUACAGGCAGAAGACACAUUUUGUUGAUUAAUCAAAACCACCUUCACACCAUCAUGAAUAACUGGCUUACACUGAGUUGAGCAAGCAAUCAUUUUUACUGUAAUUCUGGUGUAUUUUUUUCACAGUCAAGUACAAGCUUUUUUCCAACCCAGAUACCAGUGGAAGAUGUACUUUUCUUUUUCUUGAAAAGAAAGCUAAUUUGCAAGUAAAUUAUGAAGGGAUUAAAAUUACUGAUGUUAAAAUAAACCGAGAACAUUGUGUCACUUGAGACUUAUGCUUUUAGUUAUUUGCGAUUACAAUUUGCUUUUAUUGUUCAGUAAUAUAUGGUAGGUCUCCCACAUACUUUUGAAAGUUCACCUAGUUUGAUGGAUAUUUUGUCUCUUCACUAAAUAAAAGAAUGAGUAAUAUGAAUAAUGACAAUAUUAAUGUGUGGAAAAAAAAACAAAACAAAAUCCACUGUAACUACUCUGGAUGAUAAUUACAGGAAACAAUGCCUUAAAGUCGUUGCCAAACCACAACUGCCCCCUUUUACAAGUAAACAAAAGUACCUGCAGAAACUGAGAAUCUGUUUAUUUUACUCUGAUUUCCACAUUUCAAAUACCACAAGUUUUUCUGGGCACCGUGUAUACUUAGCAUUUAUACAUCUAUCUGUAUGAACUGCAGUUACAUGACAUGGGAAGACUUACGUCUGGAGCUAACACGAAUUGUUCAAGUCCAGGAGUCAUAUCAAAAGCGAAGUGCUGUACUGUGUGUGCCCCUCAGCUCCAUGCACAUGAAUUCUCAGUUCCUGCUGGGUUUAUUUUUUCAUCUGGAAAAAUAAAAUAGUGUGAACUUUGAUCCUUUGACUCAAGUUUGGGAAGGAUUACUUUUGUUUAGGAUCAUGGCAAUUUUGUUAAAUUAGAGUAUCAAAAACUUGCCCCACUUCUGCACCAUUUAAGGCUAUCUUUGAGGACAGUGCUUUGCCAGGGAGGAAAAUAACAUUAAAUAGUGCAAGUCGGUCCCUAGGCAACUAAUCCCCAAAGAACAGCAUAUAAAAACAUCUGGAAGUAAUUCUGGUGACAUUGAGGUUGGCGGAUAAUGCAGCUGCACUGUGCACCUUUACUGUGAAUGGAUAAUUCACAUCCUGUGAAGCUGUAGGCUGAAAACAUUUCUUAUCUAUGUAUUGGCACUAUGAUGUUGAUUAUUCCUUCUUUCCAUGCUGUGUAAGAUGACAUAAAACGGGACCCAUUUUGACUAAGAUGGCCUAGACGCUAUUUUGGACUUGCUUAGCUUUUCUAGACCUCUCUAUGUUCAAGAAAGCAUUUGAAAUAAAGUAGGUGAAUGCCUGUGUGUAAGGAAUUCACUGAACUGGAAGGUUUAUGACACAUUAGAACACAAGUGAAUAAAAUGCUAAAUACAAUGUAGUUUUCCAGGUGAGCUGCUUUGAUUAUAUCCAAUAUUUACUAUAAAUACAGUUGGUAAGCUCCUGGCGGUAGCUGAUGCAUCCCUCCAGACAAUCCAAACAAGCCCUCCAUAUACUCUAGCCAAAUGUCUAGUACAAACACACUUGCUCAAGAUGCCAGAUACUACUGCUUUUCAUCAUAAAUGUGAAAAACUUAAUAUUUUAUUUAAAACACCGUGAAUAUGCCACUUCGUAUUGGAAGACCACCUGAGGAAUGGAAGAAAACUCCCUCUCCAAGCAAGGAAGAGAAGAUUGUUAUCAGUAGAAGUCAACAUGGAUUCAGCAAGGGGAAGUCAUGCUUGACCAACCUGUAGCUUUCUGUGAUGUCAUCACUGGCUGAGUAGAUGGGAGAGAAUGGUGGAUACCAUUCUCAACAAGAGCAAGAGAAGAGCCUUGCACCUGGGGAGGAGUGACUGCAUGUAUCGAUCCAAAGACCUGCUGAAGAAAUCUUUGCAGAGAAGGACCUGGCUGUUCUGAUUGGCAACAAGUUGUCUGUGGGCCAGCAGUGUGCCUUUGUGGACAAGAAGGCUGUCCUGGGAUACCUUAAAAAGAACGUGGCCAACAAGUUGAGGAAGGUGAUCUUCCCAUGCUCCUCUGCCCUGCUGAGCCCACAUCUGGAAUACUGACUCUAGUUCGGGGCUCCCCGGUUCAAAAAAGACAAGGAAUCUCCUAGAAUGAGUCCUGUGGAGGGUAACAAAGAUUAUUAAGGGCCUGAAGCAUCUCCCUUAUGAGGAAGGGCUGAGACCUGGAACUCCUCAGUCUGAAGAAGAGACAGCUGAGAGGGAAUCACGUAACUGCUUAUAAAAGUGUGGGAGUCAAGUUGAUGAGACUCUUUUUGGUGGUGAGCAACAGUAGAACAAGGGGAAAUGGGCAGAAACUGGAAGACAGGAAGUUCCAUGCUAAUGCAAUGAAGAACUUAUUUCCUGUUAGAGUGAUGGAGCACUGGAACAGACUGCCCAGACAGCUUACGGAGUCUCCUUCCUGGGAGAUUGUCAAGACCCCCCUGGACAGCCACCUCUGUGACCUGUUGUAGGGAGCAUGCUUUAGCAAGGAGGUUGUGCUCCAUGAUCUCCCUCCCAAC
Tympanuchus pallidicinctus (lesser prairie-chicken) is the source of this 6159-nucleotide long non-coding RNA. RefSeq lists it as uncharacterized. The record is from RefSeq and is a predicted model, not a curated record. The transcript is spliced from 3 exons. Lineage: Eukaryota; Metazoa; Chordata; Aves; Galliformes; Phasianidae.